This is a non-coding RNA of Lolium perenne, 1049 nucleotides long. The record is from RefSeq and is a predicted model, not a curated record. Lineage: Eukaryota; Viridiplantae; Streptophyta; Magnoliopsida; Poales; Poaceae.
UGAAUGCAAAUUUUGGAAUGCAUGACAAGGUUCUUUUGGAGCUUCAGGAGCGAGCAACCAAAUUGAAGGAAAUAGACUUUGAUUGUAAACUAUUUAGUUUUUUGUUUCAUUGCAGGAGCUAGAAAAGAACAGGCAAGUCAAGUGACUGAUUUUUGUAGCAGAGAUGUUCACGAGGCUAGAAGGAACAACCUUAGUUGAGGCAUUUCUACAUAAAUAUGAAGGCUUCUGCACGUCCAAGUGUUGUUUGUGGUGGUACCUAUGUGCUAAAUAAGCCAGAUGGUCAGAUCUCCGAGUUUCUUCUUGGAUGCCCUAUUUCACGAUGUUGAAGGGAGAAUGCAUUUGGUUUAUAUUCCAGGUGUCGUCAGCUAUACCAAGCAGCUAGACAAUAUGUAUCCUCCAAACUUGGUUUCUUUCUUUGCAAUGGAACAGGGUUGCCUCAAACGAUUGAAAUUUACAUCAAAUGAGGCAUACAGGAGGCCGUUGGAUGGGUUCCAAUGGUUCAAGUUGUCCUGGCUGCAUUAGGUUUCAUUGUGUUUGGAGGAGGUAGUGUUGAUCCCGGUUCUGGGGAAUUGAUUUGGGCAACUUUUGAAGUUUGGUUCUCAUAUAUUGGUCCUGAAAGAUAUUUUUGUGCAAGUGGCCAAUUGAUGUUACGCUUAUUUGAAAGCCAAGCCUGCUGUGGAACCCUGAGCAAGGUGCAGUUCCCCUCCAAGUUACCCUCCAAGUGUGCAGCGUGUGAUCCACCAUGUUGAGCAAUGCUGCAUUUACUCUGAGCAAUUUUUUUUAGUAAAAUUAGAGCUUAAAUAAGCUAGCCAGUGGCAGCUAAAUGCCCAGAUAGGUUGAGAUGUUGAUGGAGCUGAUAGGCUCUAUUACUUCAUGGAUUAAUGAUUGCUGGUAUCACUAGGAUAGUAGUUAAUGAAUCUUGAAAUCAUGUCUCGCCAUGCAUAAUUUUGCCGAUUGGUGUAACCAUGUUAUCUAUGAUAUUGGUUGCUGUUUUGAGUACAAGAAAAUAAAGAUCCGGGGCACUGAAAGCAUCCUUAUUUGUAGUUGAA